Chelonoidis abingdonii (Abingdon island giant tortoise) is the source of this 146-nucleotide unclassified non-coding RNA. The record is from Ensembl. NCBI's taxonomy places the organism in Eukaryota, Metazoa, Chordata, Testudines, Testudinidae.
UUGACAACAGUAAAGACUGGAGUCCUCCUGCUAUCGAAGAGGUACAGAACUGACUCCCAAUAUGACUCAACCCUGACCUGGAGAGAACACCUCUAGGAGAGACAGAGAACAGUUCAGUGUCUAUCUUCUCUGAUGCACCUUCAGAG